CCUACGGGAGGCAGCAGUGGGGAAUUUUGGACAAUGGGCGCAAGCCUGAUCCAGCAAUGCCGCGUGAGUGAAGAAGGCCUUCGGGUUGUAAAGCUCUUUUGUCAGGGAAGAAACGGUGGGGGCUAAUAUCUCCUACUAAUGACGGUACCUGAAGAAUAAGCACCGGCUAACUACGUGCCAGCAGCCGCGGUAAUACGUAGGGUGCAAGCGUUAAUCGGAAUUACUGGGCGUAAAGCGUGCGCAGGCGGUUUUGUAAGUCUGUCGUGAAAGCCCCGGGCUCAACCUGGGAAUUGCGAUGGAGACUGCAAGGCUUGAAUCUGGCAGAGGGGGGUAGAAUUCCACGUGUAGCAGUGAAAUGCGUAGAGAUGUGGAGGAACACCGAUGGCGAAGGCAGCCCCCUGGGUCAAGAUUGACGCUCAUGCACGAAAGCGUGGGGAGCAAACAGGAUUAGAUACCCUGGUAGUCCACGCCCUAAACGAUGUCUACUAGUUGUCGGGUUUUAAUUAACUUGGUAACGCAGCUAACGCGUGAAGUAGACCGCCUGGGGAGUACGGUCGCAAGAUUAAAACUCAAAGGAAUUGACCGG
RNAcentral lists this ribosomal RNA (586 nucleotides) under uncultured bacterium. Its description in RNAcentral is "bacterial SSU rRNA". It matches the Rfam family "Bacterial small subunit ribosomal RNA", at positions 338 to 917 of the family's 1533-position model. The record is from RNAcentral.